This is a non-coding RNA of Mycena leptocephala, 95 nucleotides long. The record is from the annotation of a GenBank genome assembly. Lineage: Eukaryota; Fungi; Basidiomycota; Agaricomycetes; Agaricales; Mycenaceae.
GCCCGCAUGGAUCAGCUGGUAGAUCGCCUUCUGUUAUUAUGCCGCAAAAGUAUUUGUAUUUGAAGGAGACGGAGGUUCGAACCCUCCUGUGGGCA